Molecule: ribosomal RNA, 461 nt
Filed under: uncultured bacterium
Lineage: Bacteria
Description: bacterial SSU rRNA
Rfam family: Bacterial small subunit ribosomal RNA
Source: RNAcentral
GAUGAACGCUGGCGGCGUGCUUAACACAUGCAAGUCGAACGGGAAAUAUUUCAUUGAGACUUCGGUGGAUUUGAUCUAUUUCUAGUGGCGGACGGGUGAGUAACGCGUGGGUAACCUGCCUUAUACAGGGGGAUAACAGUCAGAAAUGGCUGCUAAUACCGCAUAAGCGCACAGAGCUGCAUGGCUCAGUGUGAAAAACUCCGGUGGUAUAAGAUGGACCCGCGUUGGAUUAGCUUGUUGGCGGGGUAACGGCCCACCAAGGCGACGAUCCAUAGCCGGCCUGAGAGGGUGAACGGCCACAUUGGGACUGAGACACGGCCCAGACUCCUACGGGAGGCAGCAGUGGGGAAUAUUGCACAAUGGGGGAAACCCUGAUGCAGCGACGCCGCGUGAAGGAAGAAGUAUCUCGGUAUGUAAACUUCUAUCAGCAGGGAAGAUAGUGACGGUACCUGACUAAGAAG